GAUGAACGCUGGCGGCGUGCCUAAUACAUGCAAGUCGAGCGAACGGACGAGAAGCUUGCUUCUCUGAUGUUAGCGGCGGACGGGUGAGUAACACGUGGAUAACCUACCUAUAAGACUGGGAUAACUUCGGGAAACCGGAGCUAAUACCGGAUAAUAUUUUGAACCGCAUGGUUCAAAAGUGAAAGACGGUCUUGCUGUCACUUAUAGAUGGAUCCGCGCUGCAUUAGCUAGUUGGUAAGGUAACGGCUUACCAAGGCAACGAUGCAUAGCCGACCUGAGAGGGUGAUCGCCCACACUGGAACGGAGACACGUCCCAGACUCCUGCGGGAGGCAGCAGUAGGGAAUCUUCCGCAAGGGACGAAAGCCUGACGUAGCAACGCCGCGUGAGUGAUGAAGGUCUUCGGAUCGUAAAACUCUGUUAUUAGGGAAGAACAUAUGUGUAAGUAACUGUGCACAUCUUGACGGUACCUAAUCAGAAAGCCACGGCUAACUACGUG
Molecule: ribosomal RNA, 497 nt
Filed under: uncultured bacterium
Lineage: Bacteria
Description: partial 16S ribosomal RNA
Rfam family: Bacterial small subunit ribosomal RNA
Source: RNAcentral